Molecule: ribosomal RNA, 1355 nt
Filed under: uncultured bacterium
Lineage: Bacteria
Description: bacterial SSU rRNA
Rfam family: Bacterial small subunit ribosomal RNA
Source: RNAcentral
AUUGAACGCUGGCGGCAUGCCUUACACUUGCAAGUCGAACGGCAGCACGGAGCUUGCUCUGGUGGCGAGUGGCGAACGGGUGAGUAAUAUAUCGGAACGUACCCUAGAGUGGGGGAUAACGUAGCGAAAGUUACGCUAAUACCGCAUACGAUCUAAGGAUGAAAGUGGGGGAUCGCAAGACCUCAUGCUCGUGGAGCGGCCGAUAUCUGAUUAGCUAGUUGGUAGGGUAAAAGCCUACCAAGGCAUCGAUCAGUAGCUGGUCUGAGAGGACGACCAGCCACACUGGAACUGAGACACGGUCCAGACUCCUACGGGAGGCAGCAGUGGGGAAUUUUGGACAAUGGGCGAAAGCCUGAUCCAGCAAUGCCGCGUGAGUGAAGAAGGCCUUCGGGUUGUAAAGCUCUUUUGUCAGGGAAGAAACGGUGAAAGCUAAUAUCUUUUGCUAAUGACGGUACCUGAAGAAUAAGCACCGGCUAACUACGUGCCAGCAGCCGCGGUAAUACGUAGGGUGCAAGCGUUUAUCGGAAUUACUGGGCGUAAAGCGUGCGCAGGCGGUUUUGUAAGUCUGAUGUGAAAUCCCCGGGCUCAACCUGGGAAUUGCAUGGGAGACUGCAAGGCUAAAAAUCUGGCAGAGGGGGGUAGUAUUUCCACGUGUAGCAUUGAAAUGCGUAGAUAAGUGGAGAACCACCGAUGGGGAAGGCAGCCCCCUUGGGUCAAGAUUGACGCUCAUGCAGAAAAGCGUGGGGAGCAAACAGGAUUAGAUACCCUGGUAGUCCACGCCCUAAACGAUGUCUACUAGUUGUCGGGUCUUAAUUGACUUGGUAACGCAGCUAACGCGUGAAGUAGACCGCCUGGGGAGUACGGUCGCAAGAUUAAAACUCAAAGGAAUUGACGGGGACCCGCACAAGCGGUGGAUGAUGUGGAUUAAUUCGAUGCAACGCGAAAAACCUUACCUACCCUUGACAUGGCUGGAAUCCUUGAGAGAUCAGGGAGUGCUCGAAAGAGAACCAGUACACAGGUGCUGCAUGGCUGUCGUCAGCUCGUGUCGUGAGAUGUUGGGUUAAGUCCCGCAACGAGCGCAACCCUUGUCAUUAGUUGCUACGAAAGGGCACUCUAAUGAGACUGCCGGUGACAAACCGGAGGAAGGUGGGGAUGACGUCAAGUCCUCAUGGCCCUUAUGGGUAGGGCUUCACACGUCAUACAAUGGUACAUACAGAGCGCCGCCAACCCGCGAGGGGGAGCUAAUCGCAGAAAGUGUAUCGUAGUCCGGAUUGUAGUCUGCAACUCGACUGCAUGAAGUUGGAAUCGCUAGUAAUCGCGGAUCAGCAUGUCGCGAUGAAUACGUUCCCGGGUCU